This is a non-coding RNA of Paramuricea clavata, 337 nucleotides long. Lineage: Eukaryota; Metazoa; Cnidaria; Anthozoa; Malacalcyonacea; Plexauridae. The record is from the annotation of a GenBank genome assembly.
UUUUACAUGUACCCAGUAAAUAUUUUUGAGUUUUCAAUUUUGAUUCUCACAAGCUUACAAUUUGUUUACAAUUUACUCUUCCUCUGGCUCUGCCGUGCUGCACGGCAGAGUUGAUCGGAAUUGUAACAAAUACGCGUACACUUAAUUGGCUUCCUGAAUUUAGUCAAUCAGAUGCGUUAUAUUACUCGUUUCAAUUUCAUGUUUAUGCUCGAAACUGCUCAUGUUUACAAUAGCAAUUCCAACAAUCUUGCCCUCCUUUUCGACUUUGAGGCGUUGGUGUUGAUUUAGGCUAUACGCAAAAUUCAAAACUCAAAAAUAUUUACUGGUCUGGGUAAAU